AACGAACGCUGGCGGCAGGCUUAACACAUGCAAGUCGAGCGAGACCUUCGGGUCUAGCGGCGGACGGGUGAGUAACGCGUGGGAACGUGCCCUUCUCUACGGAAUAGCCCCGGGAAACUGGGAGUAAUACCGUAUACGCCCUUUGGGGGAAAGAUUUAUCGGAGAAGGAUCGGCCCGCGUUGGAUUAGGUAGUUGGUGGGGUAAUGGCCCACCAAGCCGACGAUCCAUAGCUGGUUUGAGAGGAUGAUCAGCCACACUGGGACUGAGACACGGCCCAGACUCCUACGGGAGGCAGCAGUGGGGAAUCUUAGACAAUGGGGGCAACCCUGAUCUAGCCAUGCCGCGUGAGUGAUGAAGGCCUUAGGGUUGUAAAGCUCUUUCAGCUGGGAAGAUAAUGACGGAACCAGCAGAAGAAGCCCCGGCUAACUCCGG
This 432-nucleotide ribosomal RNA is filed under the name uncultured bacterium. RNAcentral describes it as "partial 16S ribosomal RNA". It matches the Rfam family "Bacterial small subunit ribosomal RNA", at positions 29 to 506 of the family's 1533-position model. The record is from RNAcentral.